AUUGAACGCUGGCGGCAGGCCUAACACAUGCAAGUCGGACGGUAGCACAGAGAGCUCGCUCUCGGGUGACGAGUGGCGGACGGGUGAGUAAUGUCUGGGGAUCUGCCCGAUAGAGGGGGAUAACCACUGGAAACGGUGGCUAAUACCGCAUAACGUCGCAAGACCAAAGAGGGGGACCUUCGGGCCUCUCACUAUCGGAUGAACCCAGAUGGGAUUAGCUAGUAGGCGGGGUAACGGCCCACCUAGGCGACGAUCCCUAGCUGGUCUGAGAGGAUGACCAGCCACACUGGAACUGAGACACGGUCCAGACUCCUACGGGAGGCAGCAGUGGGGAAUAUUGCACAAUGGGCGCAAGCCUGAUGCAGCCAUGCCGCGUGUAUGAAGAAGGCCUUCGGGUUGUAAAGUACUUUCAGCGGGGAGGAAGGCGAUGUGGUUAAUAACCGCAUUGAUUGACGUUACCCGCAGAAGAAGCACCGGCUAACUCCGUGCCAGCAGCCGCCGUAA
Molecule: ribosomal RNA, 504 nt
Filed under: uncultured bacterium
Lineage: Bacteria
Description: partial 16S ribosomal RNA
Rfam family: Bacterial small subunit ribosomal RNA
Source: RNAcentral